Molecule: ribosomal RNA, 372 nt
Filed under: uncultured bacterium
Lineage: Bacteria
Description: bacterial SSU rRNA
Rfam family: Bacterial small subunit ribosomal RNA
Source: RNAcentral
UACGUAGGGGGCAAGCGUUAUCCGGAAUUACUGGGUGUAAAGGGUGAGUAGGCGGCAUGAUAAGUAAGAUGUGAAAGCCCGCAGCUUAACUGCGGGAUUGCAUUUUAAACUAUUGAGCUAGAGUACAGGAGAGGAAAGCGGAAUUCCCAGUGUAGCGGUGAAAUGCGUAGAUAUUGGGAAGAACACCAGUGGCGAAGGCGGCUUUCUGGACUGAAACUGACGCUGAGGCACGAAAGCGUGGGGAGCGAACAGGAUUAGAUACCCUGGUAGUCCACGCCGUAAACGAUGAGUGCUAGGUGUCGGAGGGGAACCUUCGGUGCCGCAGCAAACGCAAUAAGCACUCCACCUGGGGAGUACGAUCGCAAGAUUGAA